UUUCUUCCUCGACAGUGGUGUAGAAGGAGAGGAGCACCGGCGUCCACACCGGGGAGGUCGAAGGGGAGGCGGUAGAUUGGAGGAGCCCAGCGAGCCGGUCGGCCGGCGCCAUACAGAAGCAGCGCUGCCGUCUCCUUUCCCCCACUUUUUUAGGAGCUGGAUCUGAGGUGGCCAACCGCCGCUGUCGCCGCCGCCCCGUCGGGAAAAGGCCGCCAUGUAGAUCACGCAGCAGGCCGGUCCACCCGCUAAAAUCUGUUGAUUUUGCCCUUCGUUGUAUCUUCUGCACCAUCUGCUUCUCUAUUCACCCGCCAAACAAAUGAGUAUGUGCCAUGCUUUGCAGGAAAUUCAUUGAACAUAUGUACCUCUUCUCCUGAAGCCGAUGCUGCCAUGCCUAUGAAUCGGAUAUGACCGAUGCUUUGUCAAGGGCUCAUAUGAGAGAAGAAAAGGAGGCUGGAGAUGCAGAGAAAGAAGCUCUAAGCUCAACAAAGGCAUCAGGUUAAUUUUGCUUCAAUUCUUAGGGCCAACUUAUUGUACUAUGUAAUCUAUCUAGUUAGUUACCAGAAGAUUUGCAAUAAAUAAAUAGCUGCCUGGUUCUCAAUAGGUUUGUAGCAUAGUGCCAAUUAUGUGCAACAAUACAUGUUGAGAAGACAAUCAAAUGGAAUUUAAAUACAAUAUUUUUCAAAUGCGUUCUUUGCCAGGAAAGCAGAGAGGGAGAGAGAGGGGAGCAGUAGAUGAACUAAAUGGGUUGGUUGUGUUGGGUUGCAAGCCACGAACUGAGCAUCACAAACAUCCUGUACUAACCUAGAACUAUAAUUGGUAUAUGGAUAAUAGUAUGCAGAGUUGGCCGCCGAAGCAGUAGGAGUUGUCCAGCACUGCUGCUUUAGUUGGACGGAAAAGCAGUCCUAGUUGCGCACCCAAUUUUCUUGGGUGUCUCUGUGGCAAAAUCAGUAGUACAAGUUGUGCAUAAUACUUGAUGGAGUUGGCGCAGCAAAAUAGUAAAAUUUGAGUGUCAUUUAUAUUAUUUUUUCUAUUUUUGUGGUCGAGUUUUUCUUCUAGAAGCCUGAAAUCUGAAUAUUUCAUUUCCCAAGAGUAUCUAAAUAAUUGGCAUCUCAAGAUUUUCAGUUGCACAAGAGCAUUCAGAAACAUCCAUUUUGCCUGAUUUUUGGUUUGACAAGGAUGAAAACGUCGGCAUUGGAGUCGUGGCCGUGGCAGGGAAGGCGAACCCAGCGCAGCUCUGCCAGUGGCUCAAGAGGAAGAUAAGCAAGGAUGUCAAGAUUUUCCGCCAUUGUCCACACGGGCUGAGAAUUGUAAUAAGCAGGUAUGCAUCCCUCUUGUCUACUUGUACUGCAGAAUGAAGGAUGAUGUGUGUAAUAUCCAAAUGAAUGUACGUUAUUACGAAGGGCUAGCCGUGUGGGGUUAAGGUGCUUGCCGGCGGCGACCUGCGUGGCUCUCAGCCUGCAUCCUCGCUGAACUCAACACCAACUAUCGCGCGCCUGCGAUGUGACUGCUGUUGCAACAACGACGGCCAACGGCUAUUGAACGACGAGGAUGCCCUUCGGGGUUAUAGCAUGCAAAGCAAAGCAGUUGCUCGAUCCUCACAGCCAAUAUAUCUCCGUGUAGAAGCAGAAGAAGCAACAAUUGAUUCGUAAGCAGCAAUUUUAUCUGUUUCAUUCCUUUGUAUUUUUGCCCUCUGUUUCUGCUGAAUGUAUGUAUCACUUUUUUCAGAUAUAUUGAUCUUCACAUUCUUAGUUGGCAUCCAUAGUGGUUUUAGUUGUACACAUAGCCGUUCUCAGUUGGAUACGACAAUUAGAAAAUUGCACAACACUAAACCUUUUUCCUACGGCGGUGAAAGUGGAACGGUAUACAUUGAACUGAAUACACAUGGCGUUCAUUUUUUUGGCAUUUAUAGUAAUUCUUGUUGCACACAUAGUUGUUUUCGUCGGAGACGAUCAUUACUAUAGUAGUUGUAGUUGCACAUACAGUUGUUCUCAGUUGGAUCCUAUUAUUGAAAAAUUGCACACAUGGCAAUCAUUUUUUAUUGGCAUCUAUAGUAGUUUUAGUUGCACACAUAGUUGUUUUCAGUUGGACACGAUUAUUGGGAAGUUACACACACGGUGAUCAUUUUUGUUAGCAUCUAUAGUAGUUCUAAUUGCACACAUAUUUGUUCUCAAUUGGAUACGAUCAUUGGAAAGUUGCACACACGGCGACCAUUUUUUGUUGGCAUCUAUAGUACUUCUAGAUAUUAUGCACAUAAUUGUUCUUAGUUAGAUACGGUCAUUCGGAAGUUACACACACGGUGAUCAUUUUUUGUUGGCAUCUACAGUAGUUCUAGUUGCACACAUAGUUGUUUUUAGUUGGACACGAUCAUUGGAAAGUUGCACACACGGCGAUCAUUUUUGGGUGGCAUCUAUAGUAGUUCUAGUUGCACACAUAGUUGUUUUCAGUUGGAUACGGUCAUUGGAAAGUUGCACACACGGCAAUCAUUUUUUGUUGGCAUCUAUAAUAGUUCUAGUUGCACACAUAGUUGUUUUCAGUUGGACACGGUCAUUAGAAGUAGUUGGCAGGGGCAAUAGAAGUAGUUGCACAGAAUCUGCUAGUCAAAACUUCACGGUGGCGAAAGAUUCCUCUUAGUAAAACUGCAAAGAAGAAAGGCGCGCGCGGAGGCAGUAUCCAAAGGGGUAGAUGCCACAUCUUCUGCAGCAGCCGCUGUGGUAACAUAAAGUUCCAUCAGGAAUAUUUUUUUACUCCACAUACAGGCAGCCAAGUGUAUGAAUUUUCAUACAUGAUUGCAGAAGGACUAAUUAAGCAUUGGCAUGCUCAACUUUCCCAGUUGCUCAACGUUGCCAUCUUCAAGUUUUUUAGAAUUGUCCCAAGAGUAUGUAACGACUUGGCAUUCUCAGACUUUCUAGUUGCAGAAUAGUAUCUAAUUAGUUGGCAACCUCAGUAAUUCUAGUUGCACAACAAUAUAUAACUAGUUGACAUCCUCAUCUUUUCUAGUUGCACAAAAACUCAGAUUAGUCCCAUCUUAAAAAAAUUGAGGAUUUCCCUACAGUAUGUAACGACUUGGCACCCUCAGGCUUUCUAGUUGCAGAAGAGUAUCUAUUUAGUUGGCACCCUCGGCAAUUCUAAUUGGACAACAUUAUCCAAGUAGUUGACAUCCUCAGCCUCUCUAGUUGCAUAAGAAUUCAGAUUUAUCCCAUCUUAAAAUUUUUGAGGAUUGCCCAACGGUAUCUAAUCACUUGGCACCCUCAGGAUUUCUAGUUGCAGAAGAGUAUCUAUUUAGUUGGCACCCUCUACAAUUCUAGUUGGACAACAUUAUUCAAGUAGUUGUCAUCCUCAGCCUCUCUAGUUGCACAAGAAUAUCUCAUUAGUUGGCAUCAUCAGCAUUUCUAGUCGCACAAGAAUUUCUCAUUAGUUGUCAUCACCAGCAUUUCUAGUUGCAGAACAAACAUGAUAUCAAGUUGCCAUCCUCAACAUUUUAAUCUAGUUUUCCAGAGAACAAAUAUUUGUAUGUAAUGAUAACUAAUCACCUUUGCCUUUUUUUGCAAACCGCGAGAUAUUGUUCAAGGAAAUGAGAGUAAUGAAGCAGAUAAUGUUGAACGAUAGUCACAAGCUGGCUACCUGAUGGAGACUACUCUGGAUACCUGAUGUUUGAGUUGGAUAGAAUACCUGUUUUAGUUGGCUAUAAUACUCUGGAUACCUGAUGCAUUUUUUUCACCCCUGGAUAUGUUUGUUUGCAGACAUCCAUGUGAAAGUUGGUUUCAAACAAUGGUUUUCUUGCACAGGGAACUGAAUUUCUUAUGCUUUUACUUGAUCUUCCUUCUCUGCUCAAAAUCAUGGAGUUUUUUUUACUUGAUUUGGGAGAUUCAG
RNAcentral lists this long non-coding RNA (3870 nucleotides) under Triticum aestivum (bread wheat). Its description in RNAcentral is "long non-coding RNA (TAES_LNC010105)". The record is from RNAcentral. Lineage: Eukaryota; Viridiplantae; Streptophyta; Magnoliopsida; Poales; Poaceae.